UGCGUAGAUUAUGGUAUUAGCACCAAUGUUUAUUAAGUGCACAUUUUUUGAACGCACUUUCUUUGUUGCCUUGCUGCUUGUAGGCUUAUGGAGUGGUUUUGUUAUGCUGGUGUAACGUUUGUUGAGAUUCUUCUGUGUUCCCCUGUUUAGGGUGAGUAUCUAAGGCAUGACUGCAUUUCGCAGUUGUUUCGAUGCCAUAGUAUACUAGACCUUUUGUUAGUUUGUCUUUACUAUUUGUUUCUACAGGGAGUUAGUAUGUGAUUAUCAAGAUUUACAUUGGAGUUUGUUAUCGGCAGUGUGACAGUGUUGAACGUGUGGCGUUGUGGGAUAGCAAGAAACUGACUCAUCCUCAGUAUAGUCCUGGAAAUGAGUCUGACUAAUCAGACUUCUAAGCCUACUUGUCUGGUCCACUCAAUGAGGCAUGAAGGGGCCGUUGAUUUACCUCGGGUGAAGCACUGAAAGAUGAAUACAUUUCUGGCUCGAGGCUCAACCAAAAACUUUCUUUUAGGACUGCUUCAUGAAGCUUGUGCAGCGAUGGACCAAAUGCAUUGAAAAGCAAGGGGAGUAUAUUGAACAUUAAUGCACAUAGAUACUUGAAUGCUGCCAGCCUCAUUCGUGGUAGCCCAAACUAAAAGUCGCGUGUAGCCUACAUUUUGUGGCCUCAAUUCAAGCCAACAAAGGUCACGUUCACAUAUUUUUUCCUUUAUUUAAUGAUAUUUCGUUGUCUAGGAAACCGUUUUGAGCAGUCUCCCACUACGGGAUGACGUCAAGCAUAACAGUUUGUACUUGAUGGAAGUUGGCAGCAUUGACAGGGGGACACAAUUUUCAAGAUAAUUAGUCAUUACUUUAUCUUAUAAAUUACAGACGUUACUUCAAUUGACAAGAUAAUGACGUCCUACAUAUUUCACGUGCACUAAACGCAGGACAUAGACCGCUAGAUAUAUUUUAUAUAUCUAGAGUGAUAACGUUUUUAAAAAUUGAAAAACAAAAUGGACGCAAUCUGAUCCUGUAAAGUCGCUCUUAACUCUGAGAAAAAUAAUGAUCUUAAAUUUUUAAAGUUUUCAAAUUCUACAAAGCACAUUUGAGAUUUUCAUCUACGGCAUAAAAUCUAUAGACGUGAAGUAUAGAUAAGCUAUGCUUCUACAACAUUUUAUAUAUAAUUGUGGGCACGUUUAGAAAUUCAGUAACAAAUAUUCUAAACUCUUCCAUUUGCUGCCUAAGUUUUUCUUAUGUAGUUGAUAACAUUACAGUUCAAUAUAGAUUCUUUGACAUUGUUUCGUUUUGUCAUGAAAAUCUCCCAAAUUUGGGAAUUAAUUU
Molecule: long non-coding RNA, 1317 nt
Organism: Biomphalaria glabrata
Lineage: Eukaryota; Metazoa; Mollusca; Gastropoda; Planorbidae
Exons: 3
Source: RefSeq, a predicted model, not a curated record